Cygnus olor (mute swan) is the source of this 854-nucleotide long non-coding RNA. RefSeq lists it as uncharacterized. The record is from RefSeq and is a predicted model, not a curated record. NCBI's taxonomy places the organism in Eukaryota, Metazoa, Chordata, Aves, Anseriformes, Anatidae. The transcript is spliced from 2 exons.
GUGCAAGUCAAGCGCUGUUCCUAAUGUUUUAGUAAGCAGUCCUCACUUAAAAUUUGGUAGCGUUUGUUGAAUUUAACUUCCUGUUGGUAGCUCUGGGUGCAUCUGGGAUCUGGAAAGGUCCCUGUUCCCCUUCUGCACCUCUUCCCUUGCACCUGGCCUGGCUCAUGGCCAGCUGUGGUAGGGCCAAGGUGAUGGUUACAGCAGGGAAAAAGGGCCUGGCUCCUUCCAGACCCACUGUGCUGGCUCUGUACCUCCAAGGCGCUGAAGCAGGCCUUGGAGAGAGCCAGCAUGGGUGUGAAUUAUUCUGCCUCUGUGUUCUCCCUCCUUCAGCUGUAAAGUGCUUGUGACAUGCUUCCGAGGACUCUUUAUCUGAAAGUUUAUGUGGAAAAUGAAGGGAAAAAAAGAGCAUUUAACUGCCCUGUGGCAACAUGUUGUCAUCAUAGUACCUGUUGCCCAGGGGAAUGAAAAGCAUUGUGAGCUUGCUCAAGUUCCCCACAUCACAAAGCUUUCUCAUGAGGUUUCUUCCUUAGUCAUGUGCUGGAAGAGGAUCGGUGGGGACACGCUCCUGUGUCUGUGAUUUGACUGCUUCAGGUGAGGUGCCUGGAGGCUGAGCAGCUACACAGCAGGUGCAGCUCUGAGCAGGGAGAAGAUUGACCAGGUGCUUCCACGUCAAGUAGUCAAACACAAGAGUGAGAAACUGAACAUGUCUGGAGUCCUAUUUCUAUGGCUUCAAAACACCCUUCCUCAAAAAUACUUCAUUGUUUCAAUGGACCAAACAGUGCUAUAACACAAUGUCACUGCUGUGAUUUAAAGCUCACUGGAGUAAUAAAUCCAUCUGAAUAUAAAAUAAAAAA